GUGCUCCCUUCAGCAGCACAUACACUAAAAUUGGAGCAAUACAGAGAAAAUUAGCGUGGCCCCUGUACAAGGCUGACACACAAAUUUGUGAAGGGUUUCAUAUUAAA
This 107-nucleotide small nuclear RNA is filed under the name Sciurus vulgaris (Eurasian red squirrel). The record is from RNAcentral. Lineage: Eukaryota; Metazoa; Chordata; Mammalia; Rodentia; Sciuridae.